GCGGGCAGGUGGAGACCAGGCGGGGACUGUUGCCCGGCGACGCUCCGGCGCUGGGUCCCCGAGGCCCGGCCCCUCCCCGGGAGGAGGUGGGCUUCGAGUCACGUGACCCGUGCGCUACCGGAGGGGGUGCGGUCGGGGACCCGGCAAGAGGCGGCCGAGAAGAGAGGACCGUGGGGGCGUUCGCGUGGCUCCCAGGCCGGGACUCCACCCCCGCUGGACAGUGGGGGGAAACUGAGGCCUGAGUGGGGUCGGCCCGAAAUCGGCGGAGUUGGGAUUCGAACUCAUUUCACAGGCAGAGGGAGGAGCGCAGCCAUAGCCACCCCCACUGGGUCCGACUCCAGCUCUCGGGCUCGCAGGAGUAAACGCGCAUGCUCAGGGAGCUCGGUCGCGCAUGCUCAGCGCAACCGCGGGGGAAGACUCCAGCCGCCAGGGGGAGCGCGUGCCGUUCUUGCCUCUCUGGCCUGCGCCUCCUGAGCCGAGUAGAUAUCCCAGAGUUCCGCGCGGCGCCAGCCCUUCCGCCGUGGCCGCCUCUGGAGAGCAGCAG
Molecule: small RNA, 544 nt
Filed under: Pongo abelii (Sumatran orangutan)
Lineage: Eukaryota; Metazoa; Chordata; Mammalia; Primates; Hominidae
Description: processed transcript
Source: RNAcentral